AGAGCGAACGCUGGCGGCAGGCCUAACACAUGCAAGUCGAGCGCCCCGCAAGGGGAGCGGCAGACGGGAGAGUAACACGUGGGAACGUACCCUUCAGUUCGGAACAACCCAGGGAAACUUGGGCUAAUACCGGAUACGUCCGUAAGGAGAAAGAUUUAUCGCUGAAGGAUCGGCCCGCGUCUGAUUAGCUUGUUGGUGAGGUAACGGCUCACCAAGGCUACGAUCAGUAGCUGGUCUGAGAGGAUGAUCAGCCUCACUGGGACUGAGACACGGCCCAGACUCCUACGGGAGGCAGCAGUGGGGAAUAUUGGACAAUGGGCGCAAGCCUGAUCCAGCCAUGCCGCGUGGGUGAUGAAGGCCCUAGGGUUGUAAAGCCCUUUCGGCGGGAAGAUAAUGACGGUACCGCAGAAGAGCCCCGGCUAACGUUCGUGCCAGCAGCCGC
This 442-nucleotide ribosomal RNA is filed under the name uncultured bacterium. Its description in RNAcentral is "SSU rRNA". It matches the Rfam family "Bacterial small subunit ribosomal RNA", at positions 26 to 518 of the family's 1533-position model. The record is from RNAcentral.